GCAAACUUGGUCAUUUAGAGGAAGUAAAAGUCGUAACAAGGUUUCCGUAGGUGAACCUGCGGAAGGAUCAUUACCGAGUUAGGGGUCUCCGGCCCCGACUUCCAACCCUAUGUUUACUUAAAAUUGUUGCUUCGGCGGGCCCGUCUUAGUGCUUCGUGCUUGAGACCGCUGGGGAGAAAUCCCUUGCCCGUGUCCGUCGAUAGCCCUACUUUUAAAUUCUUGAUGAACUGUGUCGGCUGAGUGUCUUAAUAAAUAAGCACAAAACUUUCAACAACGGAUCUCUUGGUUCUGGCAUCGAUGAAGAACGCAGC
RNAcentral lists this unclassified non-coding RNA (311 nucleotides) under uncultured fungus. Its description in RNAcentral is "partial contains small subunit ribosomal RNA, internal transcribed spacer 1, and 5.8S ribosomal RNA". The stretch from base 1 to 73 matches the Rfam family "Eukaryotic small subunit ribosomal RNA", at positions 1759 to 1831 of the family's 1831-position model. Lineage: Eukaryota; Fungi. The record is from RNAcentral.